Molecule: ribosomal RNA, 253 nt
Filed under: uncultured bacterium
Lineage: Bacteria
Description: partial 16S ribosomal RNA
Rfam family: Bacterial small subunit ribosomal RNA
Source: RNAcentral
UACGAAGGGGGCUAGCGUUGCUCGGAAUUACUGGGCGUAAAGGGCGCGUAGGCGGAUACUUAAGUCGGGGGUGAAAGCCCAGGGCUCAACCCUGGAAUAGCCUUCGAUACUGGGUAUCUUGAGUACGGGAGAGGUGAGUGGAACUCCGAGUGUAGAGGUGAAAUUCGUAGAUAUUCGGAAGAACACCAGUGGCGAAGGCGACUCACUGGCCCGUUACUGACGCUGAGGCGCGAAAGCGUGGGGAGCAAACAGG